This 450-nucleotide ribosomal RNA is filed under the name uncultured bacterium. Its description in RNAcentral is "partial 16S ribosomal RNA". It matches the Rfam family "Bacterial small subunit ribosomal RNA", at positions 354 to 796 of the family's 1533-position model. The record is from RNAcentral.
GUGGGGAAUCUUCCGCAAUGGGCGAAAGCCUGACGGAGCAACGCCGCGUGAGUGAUGAAGGCCUUCGGGCUGUAAAACUCUGUUGUCAGGGACGAAGGUGCAUCUUUCGAACAGAUGGGUGUAUUGACGGUACCUGACGAGGAAGCCACGGCUAACUACGUGCCAGCAGCCGCGGUAAUACGUAGGUGGCAAGCGUUGUCCGGAAUUAUUGGGCGUAAAGAGCAUGUAGGCGGGCUUUUAAGUCCGGCGUGAAAAUGCGGGGCUCAACCCCGUAUGGCGUUGGAAACUGGAAGUCUUGAGUGCAGGAGAGGAAAGGGGAAUUCCCAGUGUAGCGGUGAAAUGCGUAGAUAUUGGGAGGAACACCAGUGGCGAAGGCGCCUUUCUGGACUGUGUCUGACGCUGAGAUGCGAAAGCCAGGGUAGCGAACGGGAUUAGAAACCCGGGUAGUCC